RNAcentral lists this ribosomal RNA (504 nucleotides) under uncultured bacterium. Its description in RNAcentral is "partial 16S ribosomal RNA". It matches the Rfam family "Bacterial small subunit ribosomal RNA", at positions 29 to 523 of the family's 1533-position model. The record is from RNAcentral.
AUUGAACGCUGGCGGCAGGCCUAACACACGCAAGUCGAGCGGUAGCACAGAGAGCUUGCUCUCGGGUGACGAGUGGCGGACGGGUGAGUAAUGUCUGGGAAACUGCCCGAUGGAGGGGGAUAACUACUGGAAACGGUAGCUAAUACCGCGUAACGUCGCAAGACCAAAGUGGGGGACCUUCGGGCCUCACACCAUCGGAUGUGCCCAGAUGGGAUUAGCUAGUAGGUGGGGUAAUGGCUCACCUAGGCGACGAUCCCUAGCUGGUCUGAGAGGAGGACCAGCCACACUGGAACUGAGACACGGUCCAGACUCCUACGGGAGGCAGCAGUGGGGAAUAUUGCACAAUGGGCGCAAGCCUGAUGCAGCCAUGCCGCGUGUAUGAAGAAGGCCUUCGGGUUGUAAAGUACUUUCAGCGGGGAGGAAGGCGGUGAAGUUAAUAGCUUCACCGAUUGACGUUACCCGCAGAAGAAGCACCGGCUAACUCCGUGCCAGCCGCCGCCGUAA